This 33-nucleotide non-coding RNA is filed under the name Prorocentrum micans. Lineage: Eukaryota; Dinophyceae; Prorocentrales; Prorocentraceae. The record is from RNAcentral.
UUUUUUUUUUUUUUUUUUUUUUUUUUUUCUCGC